CAGAGUCAAUGUGGAGACUAUAUACAGGGAGUACCGGUACAGAGUCAAUGUGGAGGAUAUAUACAGGGGUACUGGUACAGAGUCAAUGUGGAGGUUAUAUACAGGGGGUACCGGUACAGAGUCAAUGUGGAGGUUAUAUACAGGGGUACCGGUACAGAGUCAAUGUGGAGGCUAUAUACAGGGGGUACCGGUACAGAGUCGAUGUGGAGGCUAUAUACAGGGGGUACCGGUACAGAGUCAAUGUGGAGGCUAUAUACAGGGGGGGCCGGUACAGAGUCAAUGUGGAGGAUAUAUACAGGGGGUACCGGUACAGAGUCAAUGUGGAGGAUAUAUACAGGGG
This is a long non-coding RNA of Oncorhynchus tshawytscha (Chinook salmon), 340 nucleotides long. Lineage: Eukaryota; Metazoa; Chordata; Actinopteri; Salmoniformes; Salmonidae. The record is from Ensembl.